RNAcentral lists this ribosomal RNA (494 nucleotides) under uncultured bacterium. Its description in RNAcentral is "partial 16S ribosomal RNA". It matches the Rfam family "Bacterial small subunit ribosomal RNA", at positions 28 to 507 of the family's 1533-position model. The record is from RNAcentral.
GACGAACGCUGGCGGCGUGCUUAACACAUGCAAGUCGAACGGUGAAGCGCCUUCCUUUUUGGUGGGUGUGGAUGAGUGGCGAACGGGUAAGUAACACGUGAGUAACCUGCCCCCUUCUUCUGGAUAACCGCAUGAAAGUGUGGCUAAUACGGGAUAUUCUGGGUCUGUCGCAUGAUGGGUCUGGGAAAGAUAUUGUUUCGGUGGGGGAUGGGCUCGCGGCCUAUCAGCUUGUUGGUGGGGUGAUGGCCUACCAAGGCGGUGACGGGUAGCCGGCCUGAGAGGGUGGACGGUCACACUGGGACUGAGACACGGCCCAGACUCCUACGGGAGGCAGCAGUGGGGAAUAUUGCACAAUGGGCGCAAGCCUGAUGCAGCGACGCCGCGUGAGGGAUGGAGGCCUUCGGGUUGUGAACCUCUUUCGCCAGUGAAGCAGGCCUGCCUCGUUUGUGGGUGGGUUGACGGUAGCUGGAUAAGAAGCGCCGGCUAACUACGUG